Molecule: transfer RNA, 75 nt
Filed under: bacterium
Lineage: Bacteria
Description: tRNA-Asn
Rfam family: tRNA
About the family: Transfer RNA (tRNA) molecules are approximately 80 nucleotides in length. Their secondary structure includes four short double-helical elements and three loops (D, anti-codon, and T loops).
Source: RNAcentral
UCUGCGGUAGCUCAGUGGUAGAGCGAUCGGCUGUUAACCGAUUGGUCGCAGGUUCGAAUCCUGCCCGCAGAGCCA